CAAUAGCGUAUAUUAAAGUUGUUGCAGUUAAAAAGCUCGUAGUUGGAUUUCUGGUGGGAGCGAUCGGUCUGGCGCUUAGCGCGAGUACUUGCAUCGUCUCCGGCCAUCCUUGGGGAGUGUCUGUCUGGCAUUAGGUUGUCGGGCAGAGGAUCCUCAUCGUUUACUGUGAAAAAAUUAGAGUGUUCAAAGCAGGCUUAUGCCGUUGAAUAUAUUAGCAUGGAAUAAUAAGAUAGGACUUUGGUACUAUUUUGUUGGUUUGCGCACCACAGUAAUGAUUAAUAGGGACAGUUGGGGGUAUUCGUAUUCCGUUGUCAGAGGUGAAAUUCUUGGAUUUACGGAAGACGAACUACUGCGAAAGCAUUUACCAAGGAUGUUUUCAUUAA
This 383-nucleotide ribosomal RNA is filed under the name uncultured eukaryote. Its description in RNAcentral is "partial 18S ribosomal RNA". It matches the Rfam family "Eukaryotic small subunit ribosomal RNA", at positions 592 to 976 of the family's 1831-position model. The record is from RNAcentral.